Long non-coding RNA from Syngnathoides biaculeatus (alligator pipefish), 558 nucleotides. RefSeq lists it as uncharacterized. Lineage: Eukaryota; Metazoa; Chordata; Actinopteri; Syngnathiformes; Syngnathidae. The record is from RefSeq and is a predicted model, not a curated record. The transcript is spliced from 4 exons.
UGGGAGCUACCGUGGUUCUUUGCUCCUACUCAAGAGUGGCAGUAUUGAAAAUGACUUUUGCAAUAUUGCAUCAGUUGCUUUGGUAUUGUGCUCCAAAUAAGGCUAUUACAUGAUGCAGAAAAACUUUGGAAUAUUGGGCUUCGGGAUGACAUUUCAGGAUGGACCUAAACGCAGUGUAUCCUCUACAAGGGAUGGGCAGCACAGUGACAUCACAGUCCAGACCACCUGGGUUCAAAUCCAGCCUCACCAAUGUGAAGUUUACAUGCUGUUCCUGUACCUCGCAAACAUACUGUACCUGUUCCUGCCUCUCCAACCAUCGGUCUACCAUUGGGUGAUUGGCACUGAGGGAUGAGCGUGCAGUCUCCCUCUGAAACUCUCUCUGAUUGGCCCAUGUUCCAGCGUCCCUGGGCAGGCUGCGGCUAUUGGUGGCCGAGGCAUGGCGCGCUUUUAAGAAGCCGGCCGUGGUGGACCAUCGGGUUGGGUUCUUUCGCGACGGAGGUUCUUCCCCUUGGGCCCGCGAAUCAACGCCACCACCACUGAAUGGCCCAUUGAGACACA